CCUACGGGUGGCUGCAGUGAGGAAUAUUGGUCAAUGGCCGCAAGCCUGAACCAGCCAAGUCGCGUGAAGGAUGACGGACCUAUGGUUUGUAAACUUCUUUUAUAAGGGAAUAAAGUUAUCCACGUGUGCCUUUUUGUAUGUACUUUAUGAAUAAGCAUCGGCUAACUCCGUGCCAGCAGCCGCGGUAAUACGGAGGAUGCGAGCGUUAUCCGGAUUUAUUGGGUUUAAAGGGUGCGUAGGUGGUUUGUUAAGUCAGUUGUGAAAGUUUGUGGCUCAACCAUAAAAUUGCAAGUGAUACUGGCAGACUUGAGUAUAGUUGAGGUAGGCGGAAUGCGUGGUGUAGCGGUGAAAUGCAUAGAUAUCACGCAGAACUCCGAUUGCGAAGGCAGCUUACUAAGCUACAACUGACACUGAUGCACGAAAGUGUGGUGAUCAAACAGGAUUAGAUACCCGAGUAGUC
This 460-nucleotide ribosomal RNA is filed under the name uncultured bacterium. RNAcentral's name for it is "partial 16S ribosomal RNA". It matches the Rfam family "Bacterial small subunit ribosomal RNA", at positions 338 to 795 of the family's 1533-position model. The record is from RNAcentral.